UAGGGAAUCUUCGGCAAUGGGGGCAACCCUGACCGAGCAACGCCGCGUGAGUGAAGAAGGUUUUCGGAUCGUAAAGCUCUGUUGUAAGAGAAGAACGUGUGUGAGAGUGGAAAGUUCACACAGUGACGGUAACUUACCAGAAAGGGACGGCUAACUACGUGCCAGCAGCCGUGGUAAUACGUAGGUCCCGAGCGUUGUCCGGAUUUAUUGGGCGUAAAGCGAGCGCAGGCGGUUUAAUAAGUCUGAAGUUAAAGGCAGUGGCUUAACCAUUGUUCGCUUUGGAAACUGUUAAACUUGAGUGCAGAAGGGGAGAGUGGAAUUCCAUGUGAAGCGGUGAAAUGCGUAGAUAUAUGGAGGAACACCGGUGGCGAAAGCGGCUCUCUGGUCUGUAACUGACGCUGAAGCUCGAAAGCGUGGGGAGCAAACAGG
RNAcentral lists this ribosomal RNA (429 nucleotides) under bacterium. RNAcentral's name for it is "partial 16S ribosomal RNA". It matches the Rfam family "Bacterial small subunit ribosomal RNA", at positions 355 to 776 of the family's 1533-position model. The record is from RNAcentral.